GGAAAGGCGCGCGAUACAGGGUGACAGCCCCGUACACAAAAAUGCACAUGCUGUGAGCUCGAUGAGUAGGGCGGGACACGUGGUAUCCUGUCUGAAUAUGGGGGGACCAUCCUCCAAGGCUAAAUACUCCUGACUGACCGAUAGUGAACCAGUACCGUGAGGGAAAGGCGAAAAGAACCCCGGCGAGGGGAGUGAAAAAGAACCUGAAACCGUGUACGUACAAGCAGUGGGAGCACGCUUAGGCGUGUGACUGCGUACCUUUUGUAUAAUGGGUCAGCGACUUAUAUUCUGUAGCAAGGUUAACCGAAUAGGGGAGCCGAAGGGAAACCGAGUCUUAACUGGGCGUUAAGUUGCAGGGUAUAGACCCGAAACCCGGUGAUCUAGCCAUGGGCAGGUUGAAGGUUGGGUAACACUAACUGGAGGACCGAACCGACUAAUGUUGAAAAAUUAGCGGAUGACUUGUGGCUGGGGGUGAAAGGCCAAUCAAACCGGGAGAUAGCUGGUUCUCCCCGAAAGCUAUUUAGGUAGCGCCUCGUGAAUUCAUCUCCGGGGGUAGAGCACUGUUUCGGCAAGGGGGUCAUCCCGACUUACCAACCCGAUGCAAACUGCGAAUACCGGAGAAUGUUAUCACGGGAGACACACGGCGGGUGCUAACGUCCGUCGUGAAGAGGGAAACAACCCAGACCGCCAGCUAAGGUCCCAAAGUCAUGGUUAAGUGGGAAACGAUGUGGGAAGGCCCAGACAGCCAGGAUGUUGGCUUAGAAGCAGCCAUCAUUUAAAGAAAGCGUAAUAGCUCACUGGUCGAGUCGGCCUGCGCG
This 818-nucleotide ribosomal RNA is filed under the name Escherichia coli. RNAcentral describes it as "partial 23S ribosomal RNA". It matches the Rfam family "Bacterial large subunit ribosomal RNA", at positions 344 to 1165 of the family's 2925-position model. The record is from RNAcentral. Lineage: Bacteria; Pseudomonadati; Pseudomonadota; Gammaproteobacteria; Enterobacterales; Enterobacteriaceae.